RNAcentral lists this ribosomal RNA (468 nucleotides) under uncultured bacterium. RNAcentral's name for it is "partial 16S ribosomal RNA". It matches the Rfam family "Bacterial small subunit ribosomal RNA", at positions 28 to 507 of the family's 1533-position model. The record is from RNAcentral.
GACGAACGCUGGCGGCGUGCUUAACACAUGCAAGUCGAACGGAAAGGCCCUGCUUUUGUGGGGUGCUCGAGUGGCGAACGGGUGAGUAACACGUGAGUAACCUGCCCUUGACUUUGGGAUAACUUCAGGAAACUGGGGCUAAUACCGGAUAGGAUCUCCUGCUGCAUGGUGGGGGUUGGAAAGUUUCGGCGGUUGGGGAUGGACUCGCGGCUUAUCAGCUUGUUGGUGGGGUAGUGGCUUACCAAGGCUUUGACGGGUAGCCGGCCUGAGAGGGUGACCGGCCACAUUGGGCCUGAGAUACGGCCAAGACGCCAACGGGAGGAAGCAGUGGGGAAUAUUGCACAAUGGGCGGAAGCCUGAUGAAGCAACGCCGCGUGCGGGAUGACGGCUUUCGGGUUGAAAACCGCUUUCGCAUGUGACGAGGCGUGAGUGACGGUAAUGGGUAAAGAAGCACCGGCUAACUACGUG